This 1038-nucleotide ribosomal RNA is filed under the name potato plant root bacterium RC-III-9. Its description in RNAcentral is "bacterial SSU rRNA". It matches the Rfam family "Bacterial small subunit ribosomal RNA", at positions 9 to 1049 of the family's 1533-position model. The record is from RNAcentral.
GAGUUUGAUCCUGGCUCAGGAUGAACGCUAGCGGCAGGCCUAAUACAUGCAAGUCGAACGAGAUUAAGGGGCUUGCUCCUUAUGAAAGUGGCGCACGGGUGCGUAACGCGUAUGCAACCUACCUCAAUCAGGGGGAUAGCCCGAAGAAAUUCGGAUUAACACCGCAUAAAAACACAGGAUAGCAUUAUCUAAUGUUCAAAUAUUUAUAGGAUUGAGAUGGGCAUGCGUGUCAUUAGCUAGUUGGCGGGGUAACGGCCCACCAAGGCGACGAUGACUAGGGGAUCUGAGAGGAUGACCCCCCACACUGGUACUGAGACACGGACCAGACUCCUACGGGAGGCAGCAGUAAGGAAUAUUGGUCAAUGGAGGCAACUCUGAACCAGCCAUGCCGCGUGCAGGAAGACAGCCCUCUGGGUCGUAAACUGCUUUUAUUCGGGAAUAAACCUUAUUACGUGUAAUAAGCUGAAUGUACCGAAGGAAUAAGGAUCGGCUAACUCCGUGCCAGCAGCCGCGGUAAUACGGAGGAUCCAAGCGUUAUCCGGAUUUAUUGGGUUUAAAGGGUGCGUAGGCGGCUUAUUAAGUCAGGGGUGAAAGACGGUGGCUCAACCAUCGCAGUGCCUUUGAUACUGAUGAGCUUGAAUGAACUAGAGGUAGGCGGAAUGUGACAAGUAGCGGUGAAAUGCAUAGAUAUGUCACAGAACACCGAUUGCGAAGGCAGCUUACUAUGGUUUUAUUGACGCUGAGGCACGAAAGCGUGGGGAUCAAACAGGAUUAGAUACCCUGGUAGUCCACGCCCUAAACGAUGAAUACUCGCUGUUAGCGAUAUACAGUUAGCGGCUAAGCGAAAGCGUUAAGUAUUCCACCUGGGGAGUACGCCCGCAAGGGUGAAACUCAAAGGAAUUGACGGGGGCCCGCACAAGCGGAGGAGCAUGUGGUUUAAUUCGAUGAUACGCGAGGAACCUUACCCGGGCUUGAAAGUUAGUGAAUUAUCUAGAGAUAGAUAAGUGAGCAAUCACACGAAACUAGGUGCUGCAUGGC